GUUGUAUAGUCAAGUAAUUAAGUGCAUGUGGUGGAUGCCUUGGCAGUCAGAGGCGAUGAAAGACGUGAUAGCCUGCGAAAAGCUCCGGGGAGGCGGCAAAUAUCCUUUGAUCCGGAGAUGUCUGAAUGGGGGAACCCACCUACUUUAAGGUAGGUAUUGCAACAUGAAUACAUAGUGUUGCAAGGCGAACGAGGGGAAGUGAAACAUCUCAGUACCCUUAGGAAAAGAAAUCAAUUGAGAUUCCCUCAGUAGCGGCGAGCGAACGGGGAUCAGCCCAUUAAGUUAUGUGUGUUUUAGUGGAACGCUCUGGGAAGUGCGAACGUAGAGGGUGAUAUUCCCGUACACGAAAGGGCACACAUAAUGAUGACGAGUAGGGCGAGGCACGUGAAACCUUGUCUGAAUAUGGGGGGACCAUCCUCCAAGGCUAAAUACUCCUGACUGACCGAUAGUGAACCAGUACCGUGAGGGAAAGGCGAAAAGAACCCCUGUGAGGGGAGUGAAAUAGAUCCUGAAACCGCAUGCAUACAAGCAGUGGGAGCACCUUCGUGGUGUGACUGCGUACCUUUUGUAUAAUGGGUCAGCGACUUAUAUUCAGUAGCGAGGUUAACCGUAUAGGGGAGCCGUAGAGAAAUCGAGUCUUAAUAGGGCGUUUAGUUGCUGGGUAUAGACCCGAAACCAGGCGAUCUAUCCAUGAGCAGGUUGAAGGUUGGGUAACACUAACUGGAGGACCGAACCCACUGUCGUUGAAAAGCCAGGGGAUGACUUGUGGAUAGGGGUGAAAGGCUAAUCAAGCCUGGUGAUAGCUGGUUCUCCCCGAAAGCUAUUUAGGUAGCGCCUCGGACGAAUACCAUAGGGGGUAGAGCACUGUUUCGGCUAGGGGGUCAUCCCGACUUACCAAACCGAUGCAAACUCCGAAUACCUAUGAGUACUAUCCGGGAGACAGACUGCGGGUGCUAACGUCCGUAGUCAAGAGGAAAACAAUCCAGACCGCCAGCUAAGGCCCCAAAAUCAUAGUUAAGUGGGAAACGAUGUGGGAAGGCAUAGACAGCUAGGAGGUUGGCUUAGAAGCAGCCACCCUUUAAAGAAAGCGUAAUAGCUCACUAGUCGAGUCGGCCUGCGCGGAAGAUGUAACGGGGCUAAAACUAUGUGCCGAAGCUGCGGAUGUAUACUUUGUAUACGUGGUAGGGGAGCGUUCUGUAAGCCGAUGAAGGUGUGUUGAGAAGCAUGCUGGAGGUAUCAGAAGUGCGAAUGCUGACGUGAGUAACGACAAAACGGGUGAAAAACCCGUUCGCCGAAAGACCAAGGGUUCCAGUCCAACGUUAAUCGGGGCUGGGUGAGUCGACCCCUAAGGCGAGGCCGAAAGGCGUAGUCGAUGGGAAAAUGGUUAAUAUUCCAUUACUUCUGUGUAAUGCGAUGAGAGGACGGAGAAGGCUAAAUCAGCCUGGCGUUGGUUGUCCAGGUGAAAGGAUGUAGGCAUGUAUCUUAGGCAAAUCCGGGGUACUCUAUGCUGAGAUCUGAUAGCAAGCUGUACUUGUACAGCGAAGUGGUUGAUGCCAUGCUUCCAGGAAAAGUCUCUAAGCUUCAGUUACACAGGAAUCGUACCCGAAACCGACACAGGUGGUCAGGUCGAGUAGACCAAGGCGCUUGAGAGAACUCUGCUGAAGGAACUAGGCAAAAUGGUACCGUAACUUCGGGAGAAGGUACGCUGUUGUUGGUGAUGGAACUCGCUUCCUGAGCUGACGACAGCCGCAGAAACCAGGCCGCUGCAACUGUUUAUUAAAAACAUAGCACUCUGCAAACACGAAAGUGGACGUAUAGGGUGUGAUGCCUGCCCGGUGCUGGAAGGUUAAUUGAUGGGGUUAGCGUAAGCGAAGCUCUUGAUCGAAGCCCCAGUAAACGGCGGCCGUAACUAUAACGGUCCUAAGGUAGCGAAAUUCCUUGUCGGGUAAGUUCCGACCUGCACGAAUGGCAUAAUGAUGGCGGCGCUGUCUCCAGCAGAGGCUCAGUGAAAUCGAAAUCGCUGUGAAGAUGCAGUGUACCCGCGGCUAGACGGAAAGACCCCGUGAACCUUUACUGCAGCUUGACACUGAACUUUGACCUUACUUGUGUAGGAUAGGUGGGAGGCUUUGAAGCUGGAACGCUAGUUCCAGUGGAGCCGUCCUUGAAAUACCACCCUGGUAAUGUUGAGGUUCUAACUCUGUCCCGUGAUCCGGGACGAGGACCGUGUCUGGUGGGUAGUUUGACUGGGGCGGUCUCCUCCUAAAGAGUAACGGAGGAGUACGAAGGUGCGCUCAGCGUGGUCGGAAAUCACGCGUAGAGUAUAAAGGCAAAAGCGCGCUUAACUGCGAGACCCACAAGUCGAGCAGGUACGAAAGUAGGUCUUAGUGAUCCGGUGGUUCUGUAUGGAAGGGCCAUCGCUCAACGGAUAAAAGGUACUCUGGGGAUAACAGGCUGAUACCGCCCAAGAGUUCAUAUCGACGGCGGUGUUUGGCACCUCGAUGUCGGCUCAUCUCAUCCUGGGGCUGAAGCAGGUCCCAAGGGUAUGGCUGUUCGCCAUUUAAAGAGGUACGCGAGCUGGGUUUAGAACGUCGUGAGACAGUUCGGUCCCUAUCUACCGUGGGCGCUGGAAAUUUGAGAGGAUCUGCUCCUAGUACGAGAGGACCAGAGUGGACGAACCUCUGGUGUACCGGUUGUGACGCCAGUCGCAUCGCCGGGUAGCUAUGUUCGGAAGGGAUAACCGCUGAAAGCAUCUAAGCGGGAAGCCUACCUCAAGAUAAGAUUUCCCUAGGACUUUAUGUCCUCUAAAGAGCCGUUCGAGACUAGGACGUUGAUAGGUUGGAUGUGGAAGCAUAGUGAUAUGUGAAGCUGACCAAUACUAAUUGCUCGUGAGGCUUGACUAUACAACUCCCAAGCAGUUG
RNAcentral lists this ribosomal RNA (2918 nucleotides) under Acinetobacter baumannii. Its description in RNAcentral is "23S ribosomal RNA". It matches the Rfam family "Bacterial large subunit ribosomal RNA". Lineage: Bacteria; Pseudomonadati; Pseudomonadota; Gammaproteobacteria; Moraxellales; Moraxellaceae. The record is from RNAcentral.